This is a long non-coding RNA of Olea europaea var. sylvestris, 881 nucleotides long. RefSeq lists it as uncharacterized. Lineage: Eukaryota; Viridiplantae; Streptophyta; Magnoliopsida; Lamiales; Oleaceae. The record is from RefSeq and is a predicted model, not a curated record. The transcript has 3 exons.
UUAUUAGUCGAGCUAGCUUCUCAACUGGUUCAGUACUGUGCUACAAAACUCUUACGCUGGAUCUGGUAGAAACUGGUCUCCACUGUUCAAGAACUAGAUCCCUACUGUUCAUAGCAAAAAAUCUUUCGUAUAUGUACCUAUUUUAUUUCUAAACCUUCUCCAAUCUCUAUCGAAUGAAACAUAAGAAAUAAGACGAGCCAGCAACAUAGGUAGUGAUAUCAAUCACCCAAAAGAUUGCGCCCUAACUCACUCUCGUUCCAUUAGAACUCCCGUUUUCCUUCAUCGUAGUAGCAGGAUCUCUGUUAGCAGGAGCUCUUCCUUCCAUCACAGUUGGCCUGCAGUAGCUGGGAUUGUAUCAAUUAGGGUAGAAGUGAGAAUGUUGAGGCCACAACGAUUGGGCCAGAUCGUGGAACUAGCCCAAUGGGUAGAGGAUCGCAACGAGUCCCUUAAGCGAGCUGAAGCUUCAGUCGGCCGAAUUAGAUCAAGAUCCUCUAAUUUGGCUCCAUCCUAUUCCAGCUCAUUUGGGGACAACCCAAACUAUACGAGUAUUUAUCCAAGAGGGGUGACUCGAGCUUCCCAAAUCAGCUAGCAAACUCUAAUUACAGCCCCCUGAUAAGACCAUAUUGAUGGAUAAUGAAACUCAAGAGAAAAGAUACGAAAAAGGGGCCAAAACGAAAGAAAUCGAAAGUUCAGGGACCAAAGUGUAAAUAUCCAAAAGAUGACCCAAAAGACGAAUCAAGAAUGCAAAUGAGCUUUUCUCUCAUGCCUUUCUUCGUUCAUAGUAGAAAGAUUAAUCAGUUAUUUUUGAUUCUAGGGGAAAGGCCUUUGAGUUCUUACAGUCGUAGGUCCUUCACUUUCAUUAAAAAAAGUUUUUUCAUUAA